Molecule: ribosomal RNA, 513 nt
Filed under: uncultured bacterium
Lineage: Bacteria
Description: partial 16S ribosomal RNA
Rfam family: Bacterial small subunit ribosomal RNA
Source: RNAcentral
GAUGAACGCUGGCGGCGUGCCUAAUACAUGCAAGUCGAGCGAACAGAUAAGGAGCUUGCUCCUUUGACGUUAGCGGCGGACGGGUGAGUAACACGUGGAUAACCUACCUAUAAGACUGUGAUAACUUCGGGAAACCGGAGCUAAUACCGGAUAACAUAUUGAACCGCAUGGUUCAAUAGUGAAAGGCGGCUUUGCUGUCACUUAUAGAUGGAUCCGCGCCGUAUUAGUUAGUUGGUAAGGUAACGGCUUACCAAGGCAACGAUACGUAGCCGACCUGAGAGGGUGAACGACCACACUGGAACUGAGACACGGUCCAGACGCCUACGGAAGGCAGCAGUAGGGAAUCUUCCGCAAUGGGCGAAAGCCUGACGGAGCAACGCCGCGUGAGUGAUGAAGGUCUUCGGAUCGUAAAACUCUGUUAUCAGGGAAGAACAAAUGUGUAAGUAACUGUGCACGUCUUGACGGUACCUGAUCAGAAAGCCACGGCUAACUACGUGCCAGCCGCCGCGGUAA